This is a non-coding RNA of Nerophis lumbriciformis (worm pipefish), 1772 nucleotides long. NCBI's taxonomy places the organism in Eukaryota, Metazoa, Chordata, Actinopteri, Syngnathiformes, Syngnathidae. The record is from RefSeq and is a predicted model, not a curated record.
CCACAGUAUCAAUUAAACUGUUUGACAAAACUGCACUGGUUGACUUUAAAACUAUUCAUGGUUUCUUUUGGGUAUGUUAUCAUCUCAAUUUUAAAUUCCCUUUUUUAAGUUUUUAAUCUGUCCAUAUGCUGCAUUAAAGUAUGUAUUAAAGGCCAUUUCCAAUCAUAGUCAAUGUUGUUUCAGAAAUCAAGUCACCUAUGAUCAGUUAAUCUCAUGCCAUGUAAACAUAUUUGCACUGGACUAAUAAUGGUUCAUAUUGGUUCAAAAUGUCUUAACAUUUAGCCUGUUCAAACUGUGUGUAUUAUAAUUUCUGUUAGGCUAUGAUGACAUUUUUAUUAUUUUACACUAAAUCCUUCUGUUGUCAGCUUGGUGUUGUAUUGAAUUUGUGUUCAUUCUCUGUACAUUUUUGUUUAUACACAUGUAAAAGAAUGGCUUCUCCCAGAUCUCUCACAACAGUACUCCUGGAUGGCAGAGAAAUUUUGAAGAAGACUUACACUCUUGGUAAUGUCAAGGACAUUACAGAGGCGUGUACAUCUGCACUGUCGUGCAAAGCAGAAAUAAUCAGAAUUCUGAAGUUCUGCUCAGAUUUUAAUGAAUACAUUGACACUGAUGUGAACUGCAAUGUUGAAAACAUGGAUACAUUCCAAAUUCUAUUCAAGUCCAUUCAAUCAGAUGUUUGUGAUGUCAGUGCCACUGCUGUCACCACACAGGAAAUGGAAGGACAGCGGGUAUGUUUGUUAAUUUGUUCAUGUCUGUUAAUUUAAGGAAGGUCACUAAACAUAAUAUUCUGUUUAGCGCGUUGGUGUGCCUUUAUGUGAAGUACUUUAUCCCAGUGCUUAGAUUAAGUGGUAAUAUCUCUACAGAAGUAUACUGGUUAAAAUAAAAUACUGUGUAUAUGGACUGUUCCUUCAGAUUUCAACAACAGCCAGUGAUCUUGAUCCUGAGAGUGUGAAGACUCACCUUCAACAAAAAGAUCCCAGGAUUUUUGCAUUCCUUGUUGGAAAAAAAGGGAUUGUGGAGUUUUCACUCAAGGGUUUAAGUGAGGGAUGAAGCAAAAAAACUAACCCGGACCAGCUGUGACCACGAGGAUCCGAGUCUGGUAGAAGGACGCACAGCUGCAUUUGACUGGCUCGUCUUCCAGCAGAUGAUGAUUCAUUCCACUCGUGGGUGGAUGGAGCUCAUUUCAAAAGGAACUUCCGCUGGUGUUUGCGGACUCUGGAGUGGUCGAUCUUCUUCAUCAGCUUAGUGUGCUUGUAGAUGAGCCAGGUCUCCCUCAGCACGUUGGCCGCCGCGUUCUUUAUCUGCGCACAGACGACACACACACAUAAUCAUUACGGGUCGCCCUUGGCAACAGGUUUGUCCGGCGUUUUCUUGAUGCAGAAGGAAAACAACACUUAAGAAUGUUUUUUUUUCUUAAAAGCCGACCUUAUUUUCUGUGUCUGACCACACACACACACACACGCACGCACACACACACGCACACAUGUUGCUUGCCAAAGCCUUUCAAGCGUACAUAAACAACUCUCUCCUUAGGGACUUUUGGCAAUGAGAACCAAACAGAGAAUCUCCCUCGCUGCUACAUACAGUAUACAACAAGAUAAAACAUGUAAAAUACGAGGGGUGUCAAAAAAAUUCUUAAUCGAUUAAAAAAAAUAUCAAAAAUCUAUUUACUUUAAACCAGUCCUGUGCAGCCACUCCGGCAAAUCAUAUUGUUGAUGUACAAAUCCCAAAACCAGUGAAGAUGGCACGUUGUGUAAAUGGUAAAUAAAAAC